RNAcentral lists this long non-coding RNA (252 nucleotides) under Lathyrus oleraceus (garden pea). Its description in RNAcentral is "Pisum sativum (pea) long non-coding RNA (PSAT_LNC028390)". Lineage: Eukaryota; Viridiplantae; Streptophyta; Magnoliopsida; Fabales; Fabaceae. The record is from RNAcentral.
AAAAAUGUGCAUGGAAAGCCACGAUCCAGGUACCAUUUGAAAGGUGGAGUGAUGUACAUCACUCCUAUGCCACUCAAUUCCACUCUAGAUCCCUAUUGAGAGAGAAAUCAGAGAUGGAACUUUGGUGGUGUUCAACCGAACUUGCUUGAUUUCAAAAAUUAAGAACACAAUAAUGAUGCCUCUAUGCAGAGGACUUCAUACAACACAAAAUCAAGGCAAAUGGAACAAUAUAUGAGCUGUUUCGAAGCAAAA